Long non-coding RNA from Fundulus heteroclitus (mummichog), 925 nucleotides. RefSeq lists it as uncharacterized. The record is from RefSeq and is a predicted model, not a curated record. Lineage: Eukaryota; Metazoa; Chordata; Actinopteri; Cyprinodontiformes; Fundulidae. The transcript is spliced from 2 exons.
UUUUUUGUUUUUGUUUUAAAUACAGCUCACCUUCAUGCUCCAGUUUAUAAGAGCAGCUGCUUCAGUACAUCUAGUUUUUAUUGUUCCCAGACGCAGCUCAUUGGAGGACACAUUGUGCAUCACAGGACGGUGUUCCCCUUUUGAUUGGAGCGCAUCAUGAUCGGUUGCACAAGCGGAACGCCGAGGCGCAAAUCUGCGGGGAGGCGCAGAGAAUCCGACGUUUUGUGGCUGAUUUGACACACGCGAUGUGGUUACAGCGGAGGGUCGCUGCUGAUUACUGCGGCGGGGAGUAUUAAAAACUGCAAGGAACAAAAUUAACGAGGAAACCAGAGCCGGUUCGUUUUUACGCACAGAUCCCCUCCGUUAAAUAAGUGGCAUUCAGGAUCAAUUGAGCGACCCCCACUCCUGUAUACACCCCACUUUUAUACUUUCUUUUCUUUCCUCGGCCCCUCUCCUCCUCCUCCCGCCUUUGGCCCAGCAAGAGAGUUUAGAAAAAGAGGCGUGGGUUCUAUUCAGCGUCCCCGACUCCUCUCCCCACACCCCUUCCCCAUCACCAGGCUUUCUGAAACCUAUCCAUGCCCCCUUGUCAGCCUGCGUCCAGGGUCCAAUUAGCGCUUUGUGCGGACUUUGCGGGUCUUCCAGAGGCUGGGAGGGCUCUCGCUUCACUUGGAGGGGCUUUCCAGUCAAAGCUAAGUGUAAUAAUUAUUAUGACAUGCGGGCGCCCUGGUCCCUUUAACCACUUUCUGUGUUUUUAUGCUUCUGUGUAAGGGCUUCACUGUCCGGGAGGAUGAUGAAAACAAAAAAAGUGACAGGAACCAAGACUAAUUUCUGAGGGAUGGAAAAAUUAUCUUCUAAUUUGUUUCUAAUGAAAAACAUUUUUUUCCCCAAAGAAAAAGAGAAAAACACUUAUCCCCACUUUUUUUUU